This 385-nucleotide ribosomal RNA is filed under the name Chiasmocleis ventrimaculata (dotted humming frog). RNAcentral describes it as "12S ribosomal RNA". It matches the Rfam family "Bacterial small subunit ribosomal RNA", at positions 792 to 1389 of the family's 1533-position model. The record is from RNAcentral. Lineage: Eukaryota; Metazoa; Chordata; Amphibia; Anura; Microhylidae.
AUUCCUAGCGUUAAAAUAUAUAUUCACACUACAAAUCGCCAGGGAAUUACGAGCCCAAGCUUAAAACCCAAAGGACUUGACGGUGUCCCACCCACCUAGAGGAGCCUGUUCUAUAAUCGAUUCUCCCCGAUAAACCUCACCACUUCUAGCUACUCAGCCUGUAUACCUCCGUCGUAAGCUCACCAUGUGAACGAAAUCAGUGGGCCCAAGGAUCACUCAUCAAUACGUCAGGUCAAGGUGCAGCUCACGAACUGGGAAGAAAUGGGCUACAAUUUCUACAAUAGAACAAACGAAAGACUACAUGAAACAUAGUCACUGAAGGCGGAUUUAGUAGUAAAAAGAAAAUAGAGAGUCCUUUUUAACAAGGCGCUGGGACGCGUACACA